UACGAAGGGGGCUAGCGUUGCUCGGAAUCACUGGGCGUAAAGCGCACGUAGGCGGAUUGCUAAGUCGGGGGUGAAAUCCCGGGGCUCAACCUCGGAAUUGCCUUCGAUACUGUUAGUCUUGAGUCCGGGAGAGGUGAGUGGAAUUCCUAGUGUAGAGGUGAAAUUCGUAGAUAUUAGGAAGAACACCAGUGGCGAAGGCGGCUCACUGGCCCGGUACUGACGCUCAUGUGCGAAAGCGUGGGGAGCAAACAGG
This 253-nucleotide ribosomal RNA is filed under the name uncultured bacterium. RNAcentral describes it as "partial 16S ribosomal RNA". It matches the Rfam family "Bacterial small subunit ribosomal RNA", at positions 524 to 776 of the family's 1533-position model. The record is from RNAcentral.